Molecule: ribosomal RNA, 467 nt
Filed under: uncultured bacterium
Lineage: Bacteria
Description: bacterial SSU rRNA
Rfam family: Bacterial small subunit ribosomal RNA
Source: RNAcentral
GGACGAACGCUGGCGGCGUGCCUAACACAUGCAAGUCGAGCGAAUGAAGUUCCUUCGGGAACGGAUUUAGCGGCGGACGGGUGAGUAACACGUGGGCAACCUGCCUCAUAGAGGGGAAUAGCCUUCCGAAAGGGAGAUUAAUACCGCAUAAGAUUGUAGUACCGCAUGGUACAGCAAUUAAAGGAGCAAUCCGCUAUGAGAUGGGGCCCCGCGGCGCAUUAGCUAGUUGGUGAGGUAACGGCUCACCAAGGCGACGAUGCGUAGCCGACCUGAGAGGGUGAUCGGCCACAUUGGGACUGAGACACGGCCCAGACUCCUACGGGAGGCAGCAGUGGGGAAUAUUGCACAAUGGGGGAAACCCUGAUGCAGCAACGCCGCGUGAGUGAUGACGGCCUUCGGGUUGUAAAGCUCUGUCUUCAGGGACGAUAAUGACGGUACCUGAGGAGGAAGCCACGGCUAACUACGUG